AGAGUUUGAUCAUGGCUCAGAAUGAACGCUGGCGGCGUGCUUAACACAUGCAAGUCGAGCGAGGCGAGGGGGGCAACUCCCUCAGCCGAGCGGCGGACGGGUGAGUAACACGUGGGUAACCUGCCCGGAAGUGGGGAAUACCUCGGGGAAACUCGAGCUAAUACCGCAUGACAUCUUCGGGACGAAAGUCCUGACGAUCAAAGCGGGGUCGCAAGAUCUCGCGCUACCGGAUGGGCCCGCGCCCGAUUAGCUAGUUGGCGAGGUAACGGCUCACCAAGGCUUCGAUCGGUAGCCGGCCUGAGAGGGUGAUCGGCCACACCGGAACUGAGACACGGUCCGGACUCCUACGGGAGGCAGCAGUGGGGAAUCUUGCGCAAUGGGCGAAAGCCUGACGCAGCAACGCCGCGUGGAGGAUGAAGGCCCUUGGGUUGUAAACUCCUGUCGGCUGGGAAGAAAUCGUGCGGUGCUCAUACCACCGCGCGUUGACUGUACCAGCAAAGGAAGCCCCGGCUAACUCUGUGCCAGCAGCCGCGGUAAUACAGAGGGGGCCAGCGUUAUUCGGAAUUAUUGGGCGUAAAGGGCGCGUAGGCGGCCACGCGUGUCUUUCGUGAAACCCCUCGGCUUAACUGAGGACGUGCGGAAGAAACUGCGAGGCUCGAGUCCGGGAGAGGGGGGUGGAAUUCCCAGUGUAGCGGUGAAAUGCGUAGAUAUUGGGAGGAACACCGGUGGCGAAGGCGGCCCCCUGGACCGGUACUGACGCUGAUGCGCGAAAGCGUGGGGAGCAAACGGGAUUAGAUACCCCGGUAGUCCACGCCGUAAACGAUGGGCACUUGGUGUCGCGGGUAUCGACCCCUGCGGUGCCGAAGCUAACGCAUUAAGUGCCCCGCCUGGGGAGUACGGUCGCAAGGCUGAAACUCAAAGGAAUUGAC
RNAcentral lists this ribosomal RNA (929 nucleotides) under uncultured bacterium. RNAcentral's name for it is "bacterial SSU rRNA". It matches the Rfam family "Bacterial small subunit ribosomal RNA", at positions 8 to 914 of the family's 1533-position model. The record is from RNAcentral.